RNAcentral lists this transfer RNA (64 nucleotides) under Fukomys damarensis (Damara mole-rat). It matches the Rfam family "tRNA". Rfam says of the family: Transfer RNA (tRNA) molecules are approximately 80 nucleotides in length. The record is from Rfam by way of RNAcentral. Lineage: Eukaryota; Metazoa; Chordata; Mammalia; Rodentia; Bathyergidae.
GGGGAUUUAGCUCAGUGGUUCCAGUGCCUGCCUUGUAAGCAGAAGGGCCCAAGUUCAAUCCCCG